ACUCCUUUACAAAAAUAUUUUUGAAAUGAAUGGAAUUGUAUAACUGUUCAGCAGCAUCACUUAUGCAUUUAUGCAUUUGGUAAUAUACCUAGGAAGCUUUUCUAUGGCUACAAGAGAAGUAACAGUUUUUUAAACCAGCUUCCUUAACAGACAAGAGGAUUGUUUUCCAGAUUUUUUCUUUUUUUUUUGUUCAUAUUAAUAAUACUGCUAUAGUGUAGCUGUAAAGUCUUCUUGUACACAUAUUUUUGUUUAUAUUUUAGAAGAAUCUGAAGGAUCUAGUUCUAGAAAUCAAAUUUCUGGGCCAAAAGCAUGAGGAUUUAAAAAAGUUGGUAGAUUAUGCUUCUGUUCUUCCAUAAGUUAGUGCCAGUUUAUACGUCUCCGAGUGGUCUGUUCAAGUGCCUGGUCCCCACAUACUUGAUAAUCAUUGUUAGACUGUCAGCAUUUCAUUUUGAUUUGCAUUUCUUUAGUUGUGAGUGGGUUUGUAGAUAUUGUCAUGUCCUUACUGGUCAUUUUGGUUUUUUUAGUGAACUGUAAUUUUUGCCCAUUUUUCAUUGGAUUAUCUUUUUGUUAGCAAUUUGUAUCCAUUUAAUAUUUGUUACAAAUAUUUUUUCAGUUUAUUGUUUAUUUAUAUUUGGUUUGGGGUGGGGUUUUUUUUUGCCACUUAUAAAAAAAUCAGUUGUGUCCUUUUUUGGGCUUCUAGGUUUUAUGCCAUAAUUAAAGUCUUUUUGUGCUUUAAAUGUAUUUUUAAAAAUUUUACCCACAUUUUGCUCAAAUAGUUUUAUAGUUUCAUAUUUUUUACUUUAAAUGUAGUAUAUCUGGAAUUUAUUUUGAUUUAAAGAAUGAAGAUAGUGAUCUAAUCUUAAGUUUUCCAAAUGAUUAAAUGUUGCUUCAACACUGUUUGGUGGGGGCAUUCUGCUGCUUCUGUGAAAUCCUUACAUUUGAGAUUUUCUGACUGUAGAAUAUGUUGUGUUUAGAGUAUUGUCUGGACUGGGAAAGCUGCACAUGUGAAGCUGCAGGAUCCCCACGUGAAUUAGGAAAGCUGAUGAGUUUCUUUUAGGUCAGAUGAGAGGCAUUUGUGUCAGAUGAGAGCUUCUAGAAUUUGCGAGUACUGGAAGGAGAGGCAAACUUCUGAGAGGGGACCUCGGUGUUCAGUUUGCAGGUUCACCCCAUGUAUCGUGGGGCUUACCCUCUCUGUAAACAAGAUUCAAUCUAAACUAAGGAAAGGCUUGUCAAUGAUGAGACUGCAUUUGCCAUUGGGCGCUCUUAAAUAGGACUUGUUUUUAUAGAAAUCUGACUCUAUAAUUUGUCAAAAUUUGUAACUGUCUCACUAGAAUUCAUUGAUCUUAUUAGAUAGGAGACCUCAAUGUAACAUUCCUAAAGUGACAAGUGGAGUUUUCUAAGUAUAACUUAAGACUGAGCGUAAAGUUAGUAAGCUAGAAAGUAUCUUCUGAGCAUGAGAAUCUCAUUACUUUAUCAUCAUCAAAGGCCUUGACCAAAGUAGAAGUGGUGAAAUUGUGGACUUGGAAGAGCAGUGUCACAGUAUUUGUUGUUUAGAUUGUAACUUUUAUAACGAAACAUAAAAUGGUGGGAGCCAAAAAAAAAAAAACGUGGGAGGAGAAGUGUAGCUGUGCCUGUCACACGGAUGAGGGUUUAAGACUUGAAGGGAAAGUCUGAGCUCUGUCCGGGUCGGUGAAUGAACCCUCCCUGCUACUUUUAUUAUAGUUCUUGCCAAAGAAUGGCAGCAAGUAUGAGUUGAGCAGAGCUGUGAGUUAGGGGUUAGCUUCUCUUCGUUGAUGCAGGACAAAUGCAAGAUUUAUAGAUGAGUGAAUGUUUAAGGUGUAAAGUAGAAAAGUGUUGUCUAUUAAAUGUUUUCUCUGAAAUUUACUGCAAACUGAAAACAGUGAGGCUCUCUGGCUUUACAUGGUAAAGGAGGAAGUGUUGAUUGCUUGCAAAUAAGGCCAGUAUACAGUUUUUCUUGAUUAAAAUUUGAAUGCUUCAGAAUAUAAGACUUAAUUCCCUAUGAACAUCAGUGGGAAAUGAAUUUUCAGAGCUUAUUCAUUUGCUUAAAACCUAGAUAUGACUCCAGUUCUUCUUUAUUCUGAACAUGUAAGCAUAAAUUGCAAUGUGUUACUUUAAACAUGUUUCUGAGACCUAUGAACUUUUAGUAAAACCAUUUAACUUUGUAAUAUUUGUUGGUAUUAAAUUUAGUUGGACUCAAUGAAAAAUUAUAGAGGAUAAACUAACUCAGAGACAUGUUUACUGCUUUUGUUUUAAGUUGAACAUAAGGCUUAAAUUGAAUCAAGUGCAUAUAUUUUUAUGUCUUUUGGUAAUGUAUCAUAUUCCCACAAAAUUAAAGAAUUUCAUUGGCAUGCAUAGAACCAGCAGAGAAAUGCAAAAUAUUAAACAAUAAUGUUAGUAUAGACUCUACUUCAUAAUUUAUGAAAUAUAUUUAACUUGAUGGGCAUAGGCAUGGUAUAAAAAAUUUCAUAAAAUAUUUAUCUUCAUUACACUAUAGUUAGGUCCCAUUCUUUAAGUGUAACUUUGCCAGCAAAAUUUUUGAAUUUUAAAUUGUGGCUUUCGUUGAAUGAAGUACUCUUACAUUAAGUGAUUUUUGAAGGUACUUGGCUGAUUUAACCUUUCAGAAAUAGUCUGAGGCAUUAUGUCUGCAUUGUCCAGCAAACUAUCAGCAUUCUCCCAAUAAGGGAAAAUUAAUUUCCAGGAUUAAUGUAGGAUUUUGAAAACAUAAGCUUCACACUGAAGAGACAGACACAUUAUGAUUUGAGGUCACUGGCAGCAUAAAGAUUCAGGCUUCUCGGUGGAUUUUGUUUUAAAUCCUACAGUCUCUUUCUAUUGUCACUUAAUAUAUACUGCCCUCCUACUUCUUGUGGAGACACUGUCUGUCUCCUUAGCAUCAUAGCCCACACUUGAGACCCCAAAUUAGGACUCCAGACUCAUGGUGAGGUCUGGGACCCUGUCUGUCAUCUCAGCGUUUGACUUCCUAGAAACAUUCAACUUUUGUUGAAUGAGUGAAUGCCUUACUUUGAUUGGAGAAACAGGUUGAUUUUCACGUCCAACUAGCAUUGCUGUUGGAAGUCAGAGUUCUGAAUAUACAAAAAUAUGUUCCUGGAGGCCAGGCCACUGCUACUGGUCAGUGUCACACUUGUUUUCUUGCCCUGGUUUAUAUAUAUGUAAAGAAGAGCUAAGUGGCUGUCUAAUUUCAUUAACGAUAUUGCUAUAGUGUUUAACUCUGUAAAAAAUAAAUGUUUCCUUAUCUCAGGAAAUGAAUGAAAUACUACUUUAGCUUUAUAGGACUGACUUGGAAUUAAAUUGUCAUCCUUAUACCCAGCAGCUAACAGGAUUCUUAGGGCACCCUUCCAUUCAAACUAGGACUGUGAUUCUCUGUGUAGAAAUGUGUACAUUUUCAUUUUUCUGUGAUAAAAAUGGCUUCUAAUAUUUUAUAUUUUAGUGUCAUGUUAGAGAUUUCAUUCCAUGAUCAUUUGUUCAUUCACAUGUAUUUUUAUUUUUAGCUCUAAGCGAAAGACAUGAGGCCUCAGCCUGAAAUGGGGUUGUUUGAGGUCAUCUGAUUUCUGGCUAGAAGGUGUGCGAUCGCCUCGUCCUGAAACCACUUCAGACUGAAUGGUUUGCAAUUUUUUUUGGUGAUGGCAUGUUCAGAAUCUUGGAUCCCUAAGUUCAAUAUAUUGGAAAUAUUUAGGAACCCUGGAAAUAAUGUUGUUUUCAUAUACAUGAUUUACUAGGUGAAUCAAUAGAUUUAAUAAAAGUAUAUAAAAGAACAGA
Microcebus murinus (gray mouse lemur) is the source of this 3795-nucleotide non-coding RNA. Lineage: Eukaryota; Metazoa; Chordata; Mammalia; Primates; Cheirogaleidae. The record is from RefSeq and is a predicted model, not a curated record.